GACGAACGCUGGCGGCGUGCCUAAUACAUGCAAGUUGAGCGAUGAAGAUUGGUGCUUGCCCCAAUUUGAAGAGCAGCGAACGGGUGAGUAACGCGUGGGGAAUCUGCCUUUGAGCGGGGGACAACAUUUGGAAACGAAUGCUAAUACCGCAUAACAACUUUAAACAUAAGUUUUAAGUUUGAAAGAUGCAAUUGCAUCACUCAAAGAUGAUCCCGCGUUGUAUUAGCUAGUUGGUGAGGUAAAGGCUCACCAAGGCGAUGAUACAUAGCCGACCUGAGAGGGUGAUCGGCCACAUUGGGACUGAGACACGGCCCAAACGCCUACGGGAGGCAGCAGGAGGGAAUCUUCGGCAAUGGACGAAAGUCUGACCGAGCAACGCCGCGUGAGUGAAGAAGGGUUUCGGAUCGUAAAACUCUGUUGGUAGAGAAGAACGUUGGUGAGAGUGGAAAGCUCAUCAAGUGACGGUAACUACCCAGAAAGGGACGGCUAACUACGUG
RNAcentral lists this ribosomal RNA (497 nucleotides) under uncultured bacterium. Its description in RNAcentral is "partial 16S ribosomal RNA". It matches the Rfam family "Bacterial small subunit ribosomal RNA", at positions 28 to 507 of the family's 1533-position model. The record is from RNAcentral.